RNAcentral lists this long non-coding RNA (6489 nucleotides) under Triticum aestivum (bread wheat). Its description in RNAcentral is "long non-coding RNA (TAES_LNC019352)". Lineage: Eukaryota; Viridiplantae; Streptophyta; Magnoliopsida; Poales; Poaceae. The record is from RNAcentral.
AAAAAGAUCAAAGAAUUUACCACUCAGAAGUGAGAAUCACAUAUUCAGUAGAGAAAUCUUGUUCCUAUAUAGAAAUGUGCAAGCUUCUAAAAAUGGUUUGGAAGGUAACUCAAACCAAGAUAUACACGCCCUACUCUAAUAGCACGCAAGCUUAUAAAAAAUGGUUUUGCGGGCACCUCAGACCAAGAUAUACACACUUUAUUCUACUAACUGAAAAUAUAAUAUAUGCCCUUAUAACCACAAUCUCAAGGAAAAAUAGAACUACAACAAAUUGUAACACAUCAGUAAUCAAGGUCUUCAAUCACACUGUGGAUUAUAGUAUUGAACAAUACGAAGAUAUUACAUGAGGACCGCAUGAAGUGUCAUUAGACAAUACAGCUAGACCAUCAUCGAUAAAGUCCUGCAAGUACAACAUCUACCACAUUGCCUACAGUGAAAACAAAGAAAAGACAACCCAUGAGUACUGGUGCAAGCAAGGCACUUAUAAUAGAGCAACAUCGAAGCAGUUCUAGUAACCAGGACAAGGCUAAAGCGUACAAGCGCUAUAUGGUUUUCUUGUCAUGAAGAAACAGAAAAGCUGCCAACGGUCAGUAAACCAAUGACCAUGAAUUCAGAUCACUUGUUAUAAAGGAAAUGAUGUGAUGCAUAAAAAAUGCAAAAUAAAAUAACAGGCACAUGGUAAGAACCGAUGACUAUGCAUUUAGAUCACCUGUUAAGCAUUGUGUGUCCUCUGUCCUAAAAGAAAGCCAAAACAGCAGGGCAGCCAAAAGACUAUAAGAAAGUGCACGGUAUUUUCUUUAUCCAUUUUCUACAAAAAUAUGAUAAAUUACAGUUUUGCUAAAGUACAUCUAGAUGUGCCAUAAGUAUUGCACAUCUAAGUCAUAUGUUAUUGAUCUUACAUUAAGAUUCGUGUGAAUAUUUUCUUUCUCUUUUAUCUUUUUCUCUUUAUGUUUGAUUCACUCAUUUAGAUGUGCAAUAACUAGGGCACAUCUAGAUGUGCCCUAAACACACCCAAUAAAUUAACCAUGAGAAGUACCUUCUGCCUUGUUAGUUUCAUAUCAUCAAAAAUAGGCACUGAAACGAAGGAAAUAAAUCUAUAGGUGAGCAAUAGGAGGGCUAAGCUGGGAAGUUUCUUGCAAAUGUUGAAUUAUCCAUAAGAUUGCAUCUCUCCUGUUCUAGUCAAAUAAUAUUUUGUAUAUAUCAAUCCUUUCAAAAGCCAGGUUUCCGGUCAACUCCUAUUGUGUCUCUUUGUAUAAAUCAUUGGUCUGUUGUAUUCUAGAUAAUUAUUAGUAUAAAAAAUUGUUUCAAACAUCACAAUUGAAAAAAAACAUAGCCACCAAAUGAAGGCCUUGCUAACCAAAUAAAGAUCACAAUUUGAAGUGAUGCCAUGGAUUUUUCUCUUAUAUGCCUUUCAAGUUUCUAUGUCUUAGCCUGCGUCGCUCUGACUAGGGCAACUCGGGCAGCGACCGAAAACCUAGCCGCCGCCACCCCGUCUCCCACCUCUCUCCCCCUCGCCGCCGCCGAAGGACGCCGCCGGGAGAAUCCCGCGCGGCCGACGGCGGCGGCGGGGCACUGCUCUCUGUGAUGGGCGCUUGGUGGGCGAGCAGCCUGGCCCCUGGCGCCGGCGGCGCCCACGACUGUGUUUCGGCCUCCUGGUCGUCCAUUUCGACUAGCCGGCGACGGAUCCAGCGGUGCCAGGUGCGGAUCCGGCUCUCCCUCGGCUCGCUGCACCCAUGCUCCCCUCGCCACCCCCAUCCUCUCCGGCGGACGAUGCACCCCGCUCCACCUCGCCUCGCUCCCCACAGAUCCUUCUCGACCCCGUCCUCCUGCGCGACCGAAGCCGAGCGGCCGCAGAUCCGGCGCCGGCGUCCCCUCCCCUCCCAUCGAUGACCCAUCCUGCGCCUCCACCCCGCUCGCCCUCCCCGUCCCCGCCCCCCUGCGCGCCCGUCACGGACGGGCUGCGGCUGGUCCGGUGGAUCCAGCGACGGACCCCUCCUAGCCUCCUCGCCUCUGCCACUGCUGGUCCCUGCCGGGAAGAUCCUCCUCUCUGGUGCCCCCACCCUCUGUCCACCUCCGACGCCGCCGGUUCCUGCCGCUAAGGACCUCCACUCGGUAGUGCCCCCACCCCCAUGUUGUGGUACAGCGGCCCCCGCUACUCCACUACCCCACCUCGUCUCCACCCUCCUCACCGGCGGCCUGCUCCACUCGUCCUUCCUCGGUUCACCAUCCGCCUCACAUGUCCGUCUCGAUCCUGUCCUCUGUCGCCCUUCGACUCCACUUGGAUGGCGGCCCACCAUUGAGGGAUGUGCUAUGGGAGAAAUCCCUGCUGACCUUGUCAGCUGACCACGGCGGCGCUACUCCAGCGUCGCUUACCCUCUUGGGGGCGUGGCUCAUGUGCCACUCCUGUCUCUCGGUCCGGAUUCGCAGCUCUCGGCUCUGCCCUCUGGGAAUUUAACCGGUUAUGCUCCAGGCGAAAGCUCUGUGACGACGUCAUCCUCGAAUGUCGUCCACCUUCUUGAAGGCGUCACUAGGGAGCUCCUUGCCGCCAUUCAUCCUCCGUUGCCCUGGUCAUCCUCUGCUCUGCUAGCUCAAGACCCUCUCAUGUCUGUCGUCCGUUUUGGUGAGCUUCGUGCUAUCUCGGUUCAUCUCUGCUCAACAACAACGCAAUGAUGCCUUCCCACCUUGCUAAUCGUGUCGGCUUGCUGUGGCGGAGUUUCCAGUUAAGGUUCGUGAUGGGUCACUCGUUGAUUGGUGCUGCUCCUCUGUUGAUGGGUACACACACCGGUGUGGUGCGUUAGGAUAGUUGUUUAGUGUUGGUAUUGUGAUUCCUCGACGACACACCACUUCCACUCGACUUUUAUGGUGGUGGUCUCUUGGCUUGCUGGCUAGGUAGUGCCUUCUUCGGGGCGUCCAUAUGUUCUCACCCUAUGUAAUCUUUCCCUCCUGUGCGGUUUUUCAGCCCGCUUUCCCUUAUAAAUGAGGUCAACCUGUUAAGGUUUUCGAUCCGGUUUUCCUUAUAAACUGCAUCAAACACUUGGCAUUUUGGCCACUUUGAGCAAUAUAUUCAAGUGGGGACUCUCUCCCCCCGGUGACCGUUCAAAAAAAAUUCUAUGUCUUGAAACCAAAUAAGAACCAUACCAAAAAUAUUUAUGAAUUAGUACAACUAAUUGGACUACUUUUGUAUGAGACUGUAAUCAAGAAUGACGAUGGUAGGUGAUCUCAUAUUAUAUUAUAUUCGACUAAUAAAAUAAACAACAUGAACCCUCUCCUGGAGCGGGGGAUGGAAAGACACACGGCCUAGAGGAACUAUAUAAACAACAUGAACCCUCUCCUGCAUCCAUAGCUCUCGUGGCCGCCAUCUCUCACUGCAGUAAUCUCGCUCAUCCUCUUUUCUUUUUUUGGUAGCUGCCCACAGCCACAACACAAUAAAAACUAUCCUUGGGCUAAUGAAAAUAUAAGUGAAUACUGAAUCUUCUCAAUAGUAGAAGAGAGUUCAGUUAUCACCUCAGCUCACCUAGGAAGCAAUAACUUCCAUUUCCAAAAGAAAAAUGACCAGGAAAUGUAAGCCGCUAUUGGUUAGGUACAUGCAAAUGAUUAAUUAUUCAAGACUACUUUGGAAACAAUGCUCUGAGCAAUUAACAGUAAUAAACAGAGAACAAAAAGGAGCAAAACAAAGACAGGUUUUUUAGCUAAAAAAAGGAACCACCAAAUGCAGCGAUAGCAUGUGUGCAUUUUUCUCCAAAUUGCACAUGAGCUUUGACUAUAGGGAAGAGACAAAACUUCCCACGAACAAACGAAUGUCCACAAUAGCUGCAAGUUGCAUCUACUAUCAAAGGAACACUUCGCAUAUCUCAAAUAAAUAGUUAUGAUAACCGUGAUCUCAGGAAGAGUAGGAAGAUGCAUCUUAUACUCUAGAGUUCAGAUAUAUCAAAAAUUCAUUUCAUCAGACCUCUUUGGAGUUAAACUGUUAAAGGGCACUGUUAAACUAAACAGUCGUUCUUAUCCUGUAACAUGCUACUACUUGCACCCCUCUUACUCCUGACACUAUGAACUCCAGUUCAUGUGGCGUACUUUAUGCAUAUACAAACGAUGUAUAAAGCCUGAACAUGGCAAAAACAAUCAAGGGAUUUCCUGAAUAUAUGAUGCUGCAGUAAACCUAUUUUUCUAACUGAAAUUAAACCUACCACUUCCUGCUCACGGAUUUUAGUUCAUUUAUAAACUCUGCAUUCUACUCAUACAAGCAUACCACAUCUAAUAUUCUGCUAUAACCCAGAUUAUUGUUACCUUUCUAAACGCAUAAUUAUUAUCAGUUUAUAAUGGAAAUAAAGUACCCUAAUGCAUCCCCUAUUAAGUGACAUUACGAACUGCAGUGUAUGUGUGUACUUCUAUGCUUAUACACAUGCUAUGAAGCAUGGAACCUGACAAGAUAAAUGCAAAGGAUGCCCAACAGAACUCUUGCUCCAUGACCUUAUUUCUAUUGUGGUUGCAGACUUGGGAGUCCCACUUUGCUGAACCUUUUGUACAUGCUGAUAAAGAAAGAGACAUCAUAACAAUUUAACAAAUAAUCUGUGCAAACACUACCUGGGCACUAUGCAAAGAGACAAAACAAAAAAACAUUAACCAAUUGCCUAGGUGUGCCAACUUGCAGUGUUAUCCUGCAUAUGUCAAUCUCUCUUCUUCUUUUUUGAGAAAGCAUAUGAUAAUCUCAUGUGUUCUAAUUUAGCCAAUACAUGCUAUGUGUGUCAACUUGUAGUGUUAUCCUGCAUAUGCCAAUCUCAUACUACGUUCUAAUUUAGCCAAUACAUGCCAAAGCAUUUCAGUCUCACUUGUUUUAGUUUUGCAUAAAGCAGGCAACUAACACAAUAUUGGCCACCGUCUCUCUCGCUGUAGUAGUCUCGCUUAUCGUCUUCUCUUUUUUCGACAGCUGUCCAUAGCCACAACAACACAAAGAAAACUAUCCUUGAGCUUAUGUGAAUAUAAGCGAAUACUGAAUCUGUUCUACAGUAUAACCUCAGCUGACCUGGGAAGCAACAACAACUCCCAUUUCCAAAAGAAAGAUGACAGGAAACUGAAGCCACUAAUGGUUAGAUAAAUACCUGCAAAUGAUUAAUUGUUCAAGACUACUUUGAGAACAAUCACUCUGAGCAAUUAACAAUAAUAAAAGUCACCAACUUAAUUCUCUAGAAGAAGAACAAACCCGUGCAUACACAUAUCAAUGAGCAAAGAAUGUUCAGCCAUGGCGUAGAUACACGCAGAAAGAAACAAAACCAAGAUAAGAAUAUGAAGGUAAAGAGACCGCAAUGUCACCGUUUGUCACAUGUGUCCUACGAACAAACAAACAGAACUACAGUGGCUAGCACCCUGUAAAAAGAAAAUUCGCAUCAAACCUAGAUGUAAGCACAUGUGACACACACGCACACAAGAAGACAUGAGGAUUAAGGAAUGGAAAAACCACCAGUUGUAAACCCAGGCAUCAACUUGCAGCACGAUCAACACCUGCAAAUAACAAACCGGAGCACCGGAGCAGGCGUCUUAGACAAAUCAUAAAGAAAAGAAAAAAUGAAAAAAAGAAUCAGGGGAAUAAGCAGAGCAACAUGGGACAAAAAGGGGCCACGUACAAAUCGGACGGUCGAAGAGAAUACUGCUUACUUUUCCUGAAACAUCGUUUUUAGGGAACCUCUGUUAGGCAAGCUGCAACCCCUCAAACCACACAUAACUCACCGUCAGAGAACUUAACUUUUAAUCUUCCUGUAAAGGGGAAAACUUACUAUGUCAGUCUCAUACAUAUAGUGACAACAUGUGAACCCCGACAAAAAAUUGCUGUGACAACAUGUAUGCAUUAUUCUCCAAAUGUACAGAUAGGAAAAGGCGGAGUUCAACAGUGCCUUAAUAGCAUUCAUGGACAUCACAGUUCAUUGGUCAGUGCAAAAACUGUACAGAGAACAAAAAGGAACAAAACAAAGCCAGGUUUUUACACCUAAAUGGAAUUGUCAAAUGCAGAAAUAACAUGUGUGCAUUUUUCUCCAAAUGUACAGAAAGGAAAAAGGCAGAAGGAAUGGACAUUACGCAUUGCAGUGACACACUACCAAAGCUCAUGGCAUGAGCUGAGACAAUCUAGCAGAGCUCAUUCACAACUAUGUUGGUUUGCACACGUCCAAGAUUAGGCAUACUGCAAAUCCAUCAGUGAGAGCCUGCAACAGAGCGAUGAAUCAAACAACACUGCAAGUGAGAUAUAUGUUUUCCUUGGAUUUCCAUGUGUAGCAACUACAUCAUUUAAAAAUGUUUAUCAUGAAUUCAAGAUCUGUAGGACAUGAAACGCAGCAGGAUCAGCUCAUAGACCUUUCAUCGAACAGGAGGCGAGCAAGGUAACUAAUAAAGAUCUCACCUUGCCGGAGCCCAUGGGUAGGAACCUCGCUUGCCCUUCAUCACCGAGCCCAAUUCCGGGCAUGACGAUCUUCACCUUGCCGUUGCCCCUGUACCGGGGCGGGA